UGCCAGACUCCUACGGGAGGCAGCAGUGGGGAAUAUUGCACAAUGGGGGAAACCCUGAUGCAGCGACGCCGCGUGAGCGAAGAAGUAUUUCGGUAUGUAAAGCUCUAUCAGCAGGGAAGAAAAUGACGGUACCUGACUAAGAAGCCCCGGCUAAAUACGUGCCAGCAGCCGCGGUAAUACGUAUGGGGCAAGCGUUAUCCGGAUUUACUGGGUGUAAAGGGAGCGCAGGCGGCUUGGCAAGUCUGAUGUGAAAGGCUGGGGCUCAACCCCAGGACUGCAUUGGAAACUGUGCAGCUAGAGUGCAGGAGAGGUAAGUGGAAUUCCUAGGGUAGCGGUGAAAUGCGUAGAUAUUAGGAGGAACACCAGUGGCGAAGGCGGCUUACUGGACUGUAACUGACGUUGAGGCUCGAAAGCGUGGGGAGCAAACAGGAUUAGAUACCCUAGUAC
RNAcentral lists this ribosomal RNA (447 nucleotides) under uncultured bacterium. RNAcentral's name for it is "bacterial SSU rRNA". It matches the Rfam family "Bacterial small subunit ribosomal RNA", at positions 329 to 793 of the family's 1533-position model. The record is from RNAcentral.